AACAUACUCCCUCCGUCUCAAAAUUCUUGUCUUAGGUUUGUCUACAAAUGAAUGUAUCGUGACUAGAUACAUUCAUAUCUAGAUAAAUCUAAGACAAGAAUUUUGAAACGGAGGAAGUAAAAC
Molecule: non-coding RNA, 123 nt
Organism: Hordeum vulgare subsp. vulgare (domesticated barley)
Lineage: Eukaryota; Viridiplantae; Streptophyta; Magnoliopsida; Poales; Poaceae
Source: Rfam